CAGUUGGAGUGAAUCAAUAUAAAAAUAUAUGUGCAAUUAUCUCUUCUCUUGUUUAAACGUUUCUUUUAUAAAACUUGCAACUGUGUUUUUAUUUCUAAAUACAAGAACCUUUCGCACUAAACGAUUAUUCUUCAAGAAAGGAAGUUCUUACAAACUUUACAGUGUACACUUUGAAUAGCACUUUGAAAGCAACUAUCUUUUAUAAUCAUUUAUUAUGUCGAGCAUCUAA
Molecule: long non-coding RNA, 229 nt
Filed under: Vigna radiata
Lineage: Eukaryota; Viridiplantae; Streptophyta; Magnoliopsida; Fabales; Fabaceae
Description: long non-coding RNA (VRAD_LNC012163)
Source: RNAcentral